UAUUUAGUGUAUUUUAAACUAAUACAUUUGUUUUUUUGUAUAUUUCAAGUCAACUUCAAGAUCGACAUGGAAUGUUAGGUAUGUUCAAGUAUAUAAACCGGGUAAAGACUGAGCAGUAAAAAGAGUGGGAGUACGAGCUACACGUAUAGUACCAAACUUAUGCAUCUUCUACUGAAGCUCUAAUCAGUCCACCCCCGGAGUUUGUGAAAAGAUAAACGAGUGGCACUGGCUCUGCGGUCAUUUUUUGAGCUCGAAAUUUCUGAAGCUAAAUAGGGUAACUCGGAAGCGAAGCAGUACCUCCAUCAUUCUAGCUUUCGGGCCCUCACUUUUAGGGUCAAAGGACGGCUUGAGACACAUUUUUUUAUGGAAACCAGAUUGUUGACGACAUUUAUGCUUCUAUUUCACAAAAGCAUGACGAGUGUCUCGCCAAACUCUCCUAGCAGCAAUCAGACUCACCUACGGAGCAACUAACACCUGAUCUAAA
Molecule: non-coding RNA, 484 nt
Organism: Malus domestica (apple)
Lineage: Eukaryota; Viridiplantae; Streptophyta; Magnoliopsida; Rosales; Rosaceae
Source: RefSeq, a predicted model, not a curated record